RNAcentral lists this ribosomal RNA (468 nucleotides) under uncultured bacterium. RNAcentral describes it as "partial 16S ribosomal RNA". It matches the Rfam family "Bacterial small subunit ribosomal RNA", at positions 28 to 507 of the family's 1533-position model. The record is from RNAcentral.
GACGAACGCUGGCGGCGUGCUUAACACAUGCAAGUCGAACGGAAAGGCCCUGCUGUUGUGGGGUGCUCGAGUGGCGAACGGGUGAGUAACACGUGAGUAACCUGCCCUUGACUUUGGGAUAACGUCAGGAAACUGGGGCUAAUAACGGAUAGGAGCGCCUGCUGCAUGGUGGGGGUUGGAAAGUUUCGGCGGUUGGGGAUGGACUCGCGGCUUAGCAGCUUGUUGGUGGGGUAGUGGCUUACCAAGGCUUUGACGGGUAGCCGGCCUGAGAGGGUGACCGGCCCCAUUGGCCCUGAGAUGCGGCCCAGACUCCUACGGGAGGAAUCAGUGGAGAACAUUGCAAACUGGGCGGAGGCCUGAUACAGCAACGCCGCGUCCGAGAUGACGGCCUUCGGGUUAUAACCCGCUUUCGCCUGUGACGAACCGUGAGUGACGGUAAUGUGUAAAGAAGCACCGGCUAACUACGUG